This 440-nucleotide ribosomal RNA is filed under the name uncultured bacterium. RNAcentral describes it as "bacterial SSU rRNA". It matches the Rfam family "Bacterial small subunit ribosomal RNA", at positions 338 to 795 of the family's 1533-position model. The record is from RNAcentral.
CCUACGGGUUGCACCAGUGGGGAAUAUUGGACAAUGGGCGAAAGCCUGAUCCAGCAAUGCCGCGUGUGUGAAGAAGGUCUUCGGAUUGUAAAGCACUUUCGACGAGGACGAUGAUGACGGUACCCGUAGAAGAAGCCCCGGCUAACUUCGUGCCAGCAGCCGCGGUAAUACGAAGGGAGCUAGCGUUGCUCGGAAUGACUGGGCGUAAAGGGCGCGUAGGCGGUUUAUGCAGUCAGAUGUGAAAUCCCCGGGCUUAACCUGGGAACUGCAUUUGAGACGCAUAGACUAGAGGUCGAGAGAGGGUUGUGGAAUUCCCAGUGUAGAGGUGAAAUUCGUAGAUAUUCGGAGGAACACCAGUGGCGAAGGCGGCUUACUGGUCUGCAACUGACACUGAGGCGCGAAAGCGUGGGGAGCAAACAGGACUAGAUACCCGUGUAGUC